RNAcentral lists this ribosomal RNA (464 nucleotides) under uncultured Anoxybacillus sp. RNAcentral's name for it is "bacterial SSU rRNA". It matches the Rfam family "Bacterial small subunit ribosomal RNA", at positions 920 to 1382 of the family's 1533-position model. Lineage: Bacteria; Bacillati; Bacillota; Bacilli; Caryophanales; Anoxybacillaceae. The record is from RNAcentral.
CCCGCACAAGCGGUGGAGCAUGUGGUUUAAUUCGAAGCAACGCGAAGAACCUUACCAGGUCUUGACAUCCCUGACAACCCGAGAGAUCGGGCGUUCCCCCUUCGGGGGGACAGGGUGACAGGUGGUGCAUGGUUGUCGUCAGCUCGUGUCGUGAGAUGUUGGGUUAAGUCCCGCAACGAGCGCAACCCUCGACCUUAGUUGCCAGCAUUCAGUUGGGCACUCUAAGGUGACUGCCGGCUAAAAGUCGGAGGAAGGUGGGAAUGACGUCAAAUCAUCAUGCCCCUUAUGACCUGGGCUACACACGUGCUACAAUGGGCGGUACAAAGGGUCGCGAACCCGCGAGGGGGAGCCAAUCCCAAAAAGCCGCUCUCAGUUCGGAUUGCAGGCUGCAACUCGCCUGCAUGAAGCCGGAAUCGCUAGUAAUCGCGGAUCAGCACGCCGCGGUGAAUACGUUCCCGGGCCUU